RNAcentral lists this ribosomal RNA (472 nucleotides) under uncultured Alphaproteobacteria bacterium. RNAcentral describes it as "bacterial SSU rRNA". It matches the Rfam family "Bacterial small subunit ribosomal RNA", at positions 9 to 525 of the family's 1533-position model. The record is from RNAcentral. Lineage: Bacteria; Pseudomonadati; Pseudomonadota; Alphaproteobacteria.
GAGUUUGAUCCUGGCUCAGAACGAACGCUGGCGGCAGGCUUAACACAUGCAAGUCGAGCGCUUCCCUUCGGGGAGGAGCGGCGGACGGGUUAGUAACGCGUGGGAACAUACCCUUCUCUAAGGAAUAGCCACUGGAAACGGUGAGUAAUACCUUAUACGCCCUUCGGGGGAAAGAUUUAUCGGAGAGGGAUUGGCCCGCGUUAGAUUAGAUAGUUGGUGGGGUAACGGCCUACCAAGUCUACGAUCUAUAGCUGGUUUUAGAGGAUGAUCAGCAACACUGGGACUGAGACACGGCCCAGACUCCUACGGGAGGCAGCAGUGGGGAAUCUUGGACAAUGGGCGCAAGCCUGAUCCAGCCAUGCCGCGUGAGUGAUGAAGGCCUUAGGGUCGUAAAGCUCUUUCACCAGGGAUGAUAAUGACAGUACCUGGAAAAGAAACCCCGGCUAACUCCGUGCCAGCAGCCGCGGUAAUA